RNAcentral lists this unclassified non-coding RNA (283 nucleotides) under Hevea brasiliensis (rubber tree). The record is from RNAcentral. Lineage: Eukaryota; Viridiplantae; Streptophyta; Magnoliopsida; Malpighiales; Euphorbiaceae.
GCCCAUUUGUCAGGUUACUAUGGCUCGAGUGUAUAAUUGGGAUGUUCACCAGCGUAGAAUGCGAAAAGCUGCUGAUACUUCUACAGAUUAAGGAAACAAAAGUCUACUGCAGCCCAGAUUCAGAGGUGACAAUAUAUAUUCUUGUUGAGAAUGUUGUCCUAAUUUCACAUAGUUUAGUUUAGGCGGAUGGAGUUGUCUUUUGUAUUUUUGGUGAUACAAAUUUUGGUUCGUGGGUUUCCUGCAUCGCUCGUUUGAAAUUCUGGAUGAAGCUUAUUAUAUUUUU